Non-coding RNA from Meleagris gallopavo (turkey), 1690 nucleotides. The record is from RefSeq and is a predicted model, not a curated record. Lineage: Eukaryota; Metazoa; Chordata; Aves; Galliformes; Phasianidae.
UCAGUGCAAUAAGCAGGGCUUUUUUUUUUUCCUUCUUUUUCAGUUUUUGAUGCCUGUUUAUAACGUGAAACUUUUCUUGCAGCUUGUUACAGUUACCAUUUUUAAAUACUUUUUUUCCUCCUUAAAGAUAACAGAACAAAAUAUGCAGCCAAAGAAAUGAUCCUUACUUUUGCAUAUUUUGCACCUUGACUUUUUUAUUCUUUUGCUGUCAGUAUUUUAUGGUGGUUAUUAUUAUGAUGGUGAUGCUGAUAGCUGUAUGCAUAUGUACAAAUAAAUACAUUUUCAAAUGAUGGCAGUGGAAGGUUUUCCUGGAGAAUGAAGUGCGGUUCGGUUUCCUUGUCAACGGAAGAUGAAGUGAACAACUGAACAUCUCCCCAGUGCAGGCUUGCUGGACCUUCCCUCCUGCUCUGGACCUCUCCCUUGGUGCCGGCACAACUCAGAAGGAUGUAUGAAAUGGAAGCAGUAGGAAAGGGGUGGGAGAGGGGAAAGGACUAGAAAAAGAAUUAGGAGGGAGAACAAUAGAAAUUGAGGAAAAAAUCCUCAGCUGUUCAGUUAAGGCUUCAGAGAACGGGAAUGUUUGCAGUCCCUGCUCCUCCUCAUCUUCCUCCCUCAGUCUCAGCCCCUCUCCUCUCCGCCACCUUAGCUUUCAUCAGCACUAUAUAUAUUUCAAUACUUAUUGUUAUUUCUUAUUAAAAAACAAAAGCAGAAGAAUAAAAUAUUUGCAAACAACGAAAAAUACCCCCCUUCUCACAAACUAUAGUGUAAUACUACUCACGUAACUGUGAGACAGGAUGGAGGUUUCUUUCUGGUAAAGUAGACUUACGUGAAAGUGUAGAGUGGUUUUAUGCAUUUUCAUAAGAGAAAAGAGUUUAGGUUUCUCAUUCCUUCAUAUCCACAGCGAGCCCUUCAGAUCAAUGUGCAAAGGGCUGUGUUUCAGUUUAUUCACCGAUGUCCAAAAGCAUUUACCUUUAUUUACUUAUUUUCUUCAUCCAUUUCUCUCAGUUUUACUUCCAGUGGCUAAUCUUACUCCCCAUCAUCUUAGUGGGGCUAUAAAUUAAAAACUCUCUUAAUUCUUUCAGCUCAUUCGAAAUUUACAUUGUAUUAUUCAUUUUUUGUGGGCUAAAUCUGCCCCUUCACACCCAUUCCUACCAGGAAACCCUCCCACCUUACAAAGUUGAUUUAGAAGUUUUAACAGAAUGGUUAGACCAUUCUGUUAAAUGAAUGAAAGUACUUGGUCUUUCUAAGAAGACCGCAUUAAGUUCCUAAAUGUGGAACUUAAACUGGUCCUUUAUUUCCCCCAUACCAAUUUGACUAAUAAGAAAAGUCAAAAUUGUAACCAUGGAGCCAAUACCAAAUAAAGCCUCAUGAAAAAUUUGCAGACUUAAAGGUCAAAUAUUAAAAAUUCCAGAUUCCUCGUUAUACUAUAAUCAAUUAUAAUAUUUGAAUGAAAAAAGAUGUUGGUAUCUGACCUUCGAGAUGCUGGUGGAACUGGUCCAGAGCAGAAUGAUCAGGUCCAAAAGACUGAAAUAAACUUUAGAUGCUGAAAUGACAUUUAAAAGUACUGUAGGUAAAAUUAUUAGGUGUUGUGCAUAUCUAGAUACAACAGAUAAACACAAACAUGCUAUUAAAUUAAAAUACAGUGCAUAAAACUGCAAUAAAGUAAUGACUUCUUUCAGGGAUUUUAAUGUUA